GUCCUGGUAGCUCAGCUGGAUAGAGCAGCCCCCUCCUAAGGGGCAGGUCCGGGGUUCGACUCCCUGCCAGGACGCCA
RNAcentral lists this transfer RNA (77 nucleotides) under Porticoccus sp. RNAcentral describes it as "tRNA-Arg". It matches the Rfam family "tRNA". From Rfam's summary of the family: Transfer RNA (tRNA) molecules are approximately 80 nucleotides in length. Their secondary structure includes four short double-helical elements and three loops (D, anti-codon, and T loops). Lineage: Bacteria; Pseudomonadati; Pseudomonadota; Gammaproteobacteria; Cellvibrionales; Porticoccaceae. The record is from RNAcentral.